Molecule: ribosomal RNA, 415 nt
Filed under: uncultured bacterium
Lineage: Bacteria
Description: bacterial SSU rRNA
Rfam family: Bacterial small subunit ribosomal RNA
Source: RNAcentral
UGGGGAAUAUUGCACAAUGGGGGAAACCCUGAUGCAGCGACGCCGCGUGAGUGAAGAAGUAUUUCGGUAUGUAAAGCUCUAUCAGCAGGGAAGAAAAUGACGGUACCUGAGUAAGAAGCCCCGGCUAACUACGUGCCAGCAGCCGCGGUAAUACGUAGGGGGCAAGCGUUAUCCGGAUUUACUGGGUGUAAAGGGAGCGUAGACGGUUUGGCAAGUCUGAAGUGAAAGGCAUGGGCUUAACCCGUGGACUGCUUUGGAAACUGCAGAACUGGAGUGCAGGAGAGGUAAGUGGAAUUCCUAGUGUAGCGGUGAAAUGCGUAGAUAUUAGGAGGAACACCAGUGGCGAAGGCGGCUUACUGGACUGUAACUGACGUUGAGGCUCGAAAGCGUGGGGAGCAAACAGGAUUAGAUACCC